This 204-nucleotide long non-coding RNA is filed under the name Vigna radiata. RNAcentral's name for it is "long non-coding RNA (VRAD_LNC008746)". Lineage: Eukaryota; Viridiplantae; Streptophyta; Magnoliopsida; Fabales; Fabaceae. The record is from RNAcentral.
GUUUUUCUAGCUAUUCAAAUGUCCCAUCAUCCUCCAAAAGAGAAAGCUUGCACCGUGAAUGAAGGUAAAAGGGUAGAUGUGAAAGACACCUCUUUCUCGGCUAAGCUAAACCCAAAAGCAUCUUGACUCUCUUCCAGGACGUCAACUCCUUCUUCUUACUUCAACCAAACAAAAACAAAUCACUCACCCCUAGAAGGAUAGGAC